GCUGUCGCUGACCUUUCAAAAGGUCGUGCACGCCUGAGCACUCUCACACAUCCAUUUCACCCCUUGUGCAUCACCGCGUGGGUCCCCUUUGCAGGAGGGCUCACGUUUUCACACAAAACUUGAUACAGUGUAGAAUGUUAUUUUUGCGGUCACACGCAAUCAAUACAACUUUCAACAACGGAUCUCUUGGCUCUCGCAUCGAUGAAGAACGCAGCGAAAUGCGAUACGUAAUGUGAAUUGCAGAAUUCAGUGAAUCAUCGAAUCUUUGAACGCACCUUGCGCCCCUUGGCAUUCCGAGGGGCACACCCGUUUGAGUGUCGUGAAAUCAUCAAAAACCCUUUUCUGUUUACCGAAAAAGAUUUUUGGACUUGGAGGUUUAAUGCUUGCCUUUCACUUUUGAAAGUGAGCUCCUCUCAAAUGAAUUAGUGGGGUCCGCAUUGCUGGUCCUUGACGUGAUAAGAUGUUUCUACGUUUUGGAUUUAGCACUGUCCCUUUGGAUUCCUGCUCCUAACUGUCCAACGGACAAACGAUGGUGCUCCGGUCGCCGCCGUCUACAUGGCGGGGGAGGGCUGG
This 573-nucleotide ribosomal RNA is filed under the name Russula amethystina. RNAcentral describes it as "eukaryotic LSU rRNA". The stretch from base 167 to 320 matches the Rfam family "5.8S ribosomal RNA". Lineage: Eukaryota; Fungi; Basidiomycota; Agaricomycetes; Russulales; Russulaceae. The record is from RNAcentral.